CCUUACCAUCCCUUGACAUCCAGAGAAUUUACUAGAGAUAGUUUAGUGCCUUCGGGAACUCUGAGACAGGUGCUGCAUGGCUGUCGUCAGCUCGUGUUGUGAAAUGUUGGGUUAAGUCCCGCAACGAGCGCAACCCUUAUCCUUAGUUGCUAACAGUUAGGCUGAGAACUCUAAGGAGACUGCCGGUGACAAACCGGAGGAAGGUGGGGACGACGUCAAGUCAUCAUGGCCCUUACGGGAUGGGCUACACACGUGCUACAAUGGCAAGUACAAAGGGUUGCGAACUCGCGAGAGUAAGCGGAUCCCAUAAAGCUUGUCGUAGUCCGGAUUGGAGUCUGCAACUCGACUCCAUGAAGUCGGAAUCGCUAGUAAUCGUGGAUCAGAAUGCCACGGUGAAUACGUUCCC
This 406-nucleotide ribosomal RNA is filed under the name uncultured bacterium. Its description in RNAcentral is "bacterial SSU rRNA". It matches the Rfam family "Bacterial small subunit ribosomal RNA", at positions 969 to 1375 of the family's 1533-position model. The record is from RNAcentral.